This 335-nucleotide unclassified non-coding RNA is filed under the name soil metagenome. Its description in RNAcentral is "partial contains 5.8S ribosomal RNA, internal transcribed spacer 2, and large subunit ribosomal RNA". The stretch from base 1 to 120 matches the Rfam family "5.8S ribosomal RNA", at positions 35 to 154 of the family's 154-position model. The record is from RNAcentral.
GAUGAAGAACGUAGCGAAAUGCGAUAAGUAGUGUGAAUUGCAGAAUUCAGUGAAUCAUCGAAUCUUUGAACGCACAUUGCGCCCCUCGGUAUUCCGUGGGGCAUGCCUGUUCGAGCGUCAUCUACACCCUCAAGCUCUGCUUGGUGUUGGGCGUCUGUCCCGCCUCCGCGCGUGGACUCGCCCCAAAUUCAUUGGCAGCGGUCCUUGCCUCCUCUCGCGCAGCACAUUGCGCUUCUCGAGGGGCUACGGCUCGCGUCCAACAAGCACAUUUACCGUCUUUGACCUCGGAUCAGGUAGGGAUACCCGCUGAACUUAAGCAUAUCAAUAAGCGGAGA